GACGAACCGUGCGAACGUUGUUCGGAAUCACUGGGCUUAAAGGGCGCGUAGGCGGAUUGCCAAGUCCGGGGUGAAAUCUUUCGGCCCAACCGGAAAAUGGCCUUGGAUACUGGCAAUCUUGAGGGAGGUAGGGGCAGCUGGAACUUCCGGUGGAGCGGUGAAAUGCGUUGAUAUCGGAAGGAACGCCGGUGGCGAAAGCGAGCUGCUGGACCUUUUCUAACGCUGAGGCGCGAAAGCCAGGGGAGCAAACGGG
This 253-nucleotide ribosomal RNA is filed under the name uncultured bacterium. Its description in RNAcentral is "partial 16S ribosomal RNA". It matches the Rfam family "Bacterial small subunit ribosomal RNA", at positions 524 to 776 of the family's 1533-position model. The record is from RNAcentral.